Molecule: ribosomal RNA, 254 nt
Filed under: uncultured bacterium
Lineage: Bacteria
Description: partial 16S ribosomal RNA
Rfam family: Bacterial small subunit ribosomal RNA
Source: RNAcentral
UACGUAGGGUGCGAGCGUUGUCCGGAAUUAUUGGGCGUAAAGGGCGCGUAGGCGGCCACCGCAAGUCGGUUGUGAAAUCUCUGGGCUUAACCCAGAAAGGUCAACCGAUACUGCGGGGCUAGAGUGCAGAAGGGGCAACUGGAAUUCUCGGUGUAGCGGUGAAAUGCGUAGAUAUCGAGAGGAACACCUGCGGCGAAGGCGGGUUGCUGGGCUGACACUGACGCUGAAGCGCGAAAGCUAGGGGAGCGAACGGG